Polypterus senegalus (gray bichir) is the source of this 951-nucleotide long non-coding RNA. RefSeq lists it as uncharacterized. NCBI's taxonomy places the organism in Eukaryota, Metazoa, Chordata, Cladistia, Polypteriformes, Polypteridae. The transcript is spliced from 3 exons. The record is from RefSeq and is a predicted model, not a curated record.
CGAACUACAUUCAGCCUGGGCACUCGGUUACAGUCCCCUCUGUUUCAAACUGCAGGUUUUCACUAACAGUGCCAGCUAUAGUCAAAUGAUCUCAGUUCGCAGAAUAACACGAACCGUUCUUUUCUUCUUCUGUUUCUUCUUUCUCUCUCUUUCUCUUUGUUCUCUGUAUUCACUGAUUAGCGUGUCAAGUCAAUCAAUCAGUCAAUAAAAUCGCGAUUCGGACAAGUGUAGGAAAAGAAUCCUUUGCCGUUUUCUCUCCGUUGGUGCUGCCUGCGUGGCUGCUCGCCCGUUAUUUAUUUAUUUAUUUUCCCAUUCAGACAUUUCAGCACCAUCAGGAAGAGACAGCGACCGUUUUGCUCCGAGAGCCUGAAAAAAUGUAGUUUGCAUUUCAACGGGAUUAUUUACAGAUUUACCCUGAGGAAUUAAUGCAACAACAGGAAUCAGGAAACCCGUCAACUUGCGUCUUAUUUCGAAUAUAUGAAGUGAAAACAUUUUCUCGUGUUUCUCCGCCUAUAUUUUUGUUUCUUUCUAUCUCUUCUUAUUACUGUGCAUAAGACACUUGCUGCGACUCUUGCGUUGGGGGAAAAAAGGAGGAAAAUGGGUACCCAGUCCCGGAGCGAUUUACUAGCGAGUGUGCAAGACCUGUAAUCUAAAGGGAUAUAGUACUGGAUAGCUGAAGAUUGAAGGAAUACAGGAAGAAAUACAUAAAUACAGGUUUCUAAAAAUAUACCACCACCUGUUAACAACAAACCUCAGCUGGGUUGAUUUGAAACAAACAACUGGACGAUCAGCAUCAUGAGCAAGAAGGACGUUUUCCUCAAGGAUAACUUGGCCAGUUUGGAAUAACUGAAUGGAAACACAUCACCCACUCAAUCAUCCAAUAUUUGAUCUUCAAGGAGACAAGACAAAAGCCCAAAUUAUAACAGCAGGCAUGAUGAAUCUACUUUAAGG